GAUGAACGCUGGCGGCGUGCCUAAUACAUGCAAGUCGAGCGAACGGACGAGAAGCUUGCUUCUCUGAUGUUAGCGGCGGAGGGGUGAGUAACACGUGGAUAACCUACCUAUAAGACUGGGAUAACUUCGGGAAACCGGAGCUAACACCGGAUAAUAUUUUGAAACGCAUGGUUCAAUAGUGAAAGACGGUCUUGCUGUCACUUAUAGAUGGAUCCGCGCUGCAUUAGCUAGUUGGUAAGGUAACGGCUUACCAAGGCAACGAUGCAUAGCCGACCUGAGAGGGUGAUCGGCCACACUGGAACUGAGACACGGUCCAGACUCCUACGGGAGGCAGCAGUAGGGAAUCUUCCGCAAUGGGCGAAAGCCUGACGGAGCAACGCCGCGUGAGUGAUGAAGGUCUUCGGAUCGUAAAACUCUGUUAUUAGGGAAGAACAUAUGUGUAAGUAACUGUGCACAUCUUGACGGUACCUAAUCAGAAAGCCACGGCUAACUACGUG
RNAcentral lists this ribosomal RNA (497 nucleotides) under uncultured bacterium. Its description in RNAcentral is "partial 16S ribosomal RNA". It matches the Rfam family "Bacterial small subunit ribosomal RNA", at positions 28 to 507 of the family's 1533-position model. The record is from RNAcentral.